RNAcentral lists this ribosomal RNA (440 nucleotides) under uncultured bacterium. Its description in RNAcentral is "partial 16S ribosomal RNA". It matches the Rfam family "Bacterial small subunit ribosomal RNA", at positions 338 to 795 of the family's 1533-position model. The record is from RNAcentral.
CCUACGGGUGGCAGCAGUAGGGAAUAUUGCUCAAUGGGCGAAACCCUGAAGCAGCAACGCCGCGUGGAGGAUGAAGGUUUUCGGAUUGUAAACUCCUUUUGUUAGAGAAGAUAAUGACGGUAUCUAACGAAUAAGCACCGGCUAACUCCGUGCCAGCAGCCGCGGUAAUACGGAGGGUGCAAGCGUUACUCGGAAUCACUGGGCGUAAAGAGCGCGUAGGCGGGUUAGCAAGUUAGAUGUGAAAUCCUAUGGUUUAACCAUAGAACUGCAUUUGAAACUGGUAUUCUAGAGUAUGGGAGAGGUAGGUGGAAUUCUUGGUGUAGGGGUAAAAUGCGUAGAGAUCAAGAAGAAUACUCAUUGCGAAGGCGGCCUGCUAGAACAUAACUGACGCUGAUGCGCGAAAGCGUGGGGAGCAAACAGGAUUAGAUACCCCUGUAGUC